This 583-nucleotide ribosomal RNA is filed under the name uncultured bacterium. RNAcentral's name for it is "partial 16S ribosomal RNA". It matches the Rfam family "Bacterial small subunit ribosomal RNA", at positions 355 to 935 of the family's 1533-position model. The record is from RNAcentral.
UGGGGAAUUUUGGACAAUGGGGGAAACCCUGAUCCAGCCAUCCCGCGUGUGCGAUGAAGGCCUUCGGGUUGUAAAGCACUUUUGGCAGGAAAGAAACGUCGCGGGUUAAUACCCCGCGAAACUGACGGUACCUGCAGAAUAAGCACCGGCUAACUACGUGCCAGCAGCCGCGGUAAUACGUAGGGUGCAAGCGUUAAUCGGAAUUACUGGGCGUAAAGCGUGCGCAGGCGGUUCGGAAAGAAAGAUGUGAAAUCCCAGAGCUUAACUUUGGAACUGCAUUUUUAACUACCGGGCUAGAGUGUGUCAGAGGGAGGUGGAAUUCCGCGUGUAGCAGUGAAAUGCGUAGAUAUGCGGAGGAACACCGAUGGCGAAGGCAGCCUCCUGGGAUAACACUGACGCUCAUGCACGAAAGCGUGGGGAGCAAACAGGAUUAGAUACCCUGGUAGUCCACGCCCUAAACGAUGUCAACUAGCUGUUGGGGCCUUCGGGCCUUGGUAGCGCAGCUAACGCGUGAAGUUGACCGCCUGGGGAGUACGGUCGCAAGAUUAAAACUUAAAGGAAUUGACGGGGGUCAUAGCUGUUU